GAUGAACGCUGGCGGCGUGCCUAAUACAUGCAAGUCGAGCGAACAGACGAGGAGCUUGCUCCUCUGACGUUAGCGGCGGACGGGUGAGUAACACGUGGAUAACCUACCUAUAAGACUGGGAUAACUUCGGGAAACCGGAGCUAAUACCGGAUAAUAUAUUGAACCGCAUGGUUCAAUAGUGAAAGACGGUUUUGCUGUCACUUAUAGAUGGAUCCGCGCCGCAUUAGCUAGUUGGUAAGGUAACGGCUUACCAAGGCAACGAUGCGUAGCCGACCUGAGAGGGUGUUCGGCCACACUGGAACUGAGACACGGUCCAGACUCCUACGGGAGGCAGCAGUAGGGAAUCUUCCGCAAUGGGCGAAAGCUUGACGGAGCAACGCCGCGUGAGUGAUGAAGGUCUUCGGAUCGUAAACCUCUGUUAUUAGGGAAGAACAAAUGUGUAAGUAACUGUGCACGUCUUGACGGUACCUAAUCAGAAAGCCACGGCUAACUACGUG
Molecule: ribosomal RNA, 497 nt
Filed under: uncultured bacterium
Lineage: Bacteria
Description: partial 16S ribosomal RNA
Rfam family: Bacterial small subunit ribosomal RNA
Source: RNAcentral